Molecule: ribosomal RNA, 617 nt
Filed under: actinobacterium TH-K22
Lineage: Bacteria; Bacillati; Actinomycetota; Actinomycetes
Description: bacterial SSU rRNA
Rfam family: Bacterial small subunit ribosomal RNA
Source: RNAcentral
AAGUCGAACGGUAAGGCCUUUCGGGGUACACGAGCGGCGAACGGGUGAGUAACACGUGGGUGAUCUGCCCUGCACUUCGGGAUAAGCCUGGGAAACUGGGUCUAAUACCGGAUAUGACCUCCUAUCGCAUGGUGGGUGGUGGAAAGAUUUAUCGGUGCAGGAUGGGCCCGCGGCCUAUCAGCUUGUUGGUGGGGUAAUGGCCUACCAAGGCGACGACGGGUAGCCGACCUGAGAGGGUGACCGGCCACACUGGGACUGAGACACGGCCCAGACUCCUACGGGAGGCAGCAGUGGGGAAUAUUGCACAAUGGGCGAAAGCCUGAUGCAGCGACGCCGCGUGAGGGAUGACGGCCUUCGGGUUGUAAACCUCUUUCAGCAGGGACGAAGCGCAAGUGACGGUACCUGCAGAAGAAGCACCGGCUAACUACGUGCCAGCAGCCGCGGUAAUACGUAGGGUGCAAGCGUUGUCCGGAAUUACUGGGCGUAAAGAGUUCGUAGGCGGUUUGUCGCGUCGUUUGUGAAAACCAGCAGCUCAACUGCUGGCUUGCAGGCGAUACGGGCAGACUUGAGUACUGCAGGGGAGACUGGAAUUCCUGGUGUAGCGGUGAAAUGCGCAG